GAACAGUAGAGUCAGUAAUUAGAAAAAAAUCUUUUUAUUUCUAUUUUUUUGGGUCUGAGGACAUGCCUCAAGAUAGAAGAAAAUGAAGGAAAGUAAAAUAUCAAGGUCAGGGGUAGCAGAUGUACCCUCAUUGCUGUCGUAGAGAGAGAACGACAAGCGAGUAGCUGGCAGGGAGCCCAGAAACCCGAGGUUGACACUCCUAGCAUUAUUUCAUAGCAAGCCUAAAAUGCUGACAUGAGUGAGAAGCCUCCAGCAGGUGUAUCAGCAUUUCCGCUGCUGCUUGUGCUGAUAAAGCUUCCUGAACACACACACCAAGUAGAAAUCACUUGGUGACACGUUCACUGGGGCACUCCGCCAAGGAAGUCUAGAUGGGCAGGACGGUGUGCUGCAGAUGGCCCCACUACCCAGCGGGUCCAAUGGACAAUUCGAACGUGGUUUGAGAGAGACGUGGGGAGAAUUCUCUCCCCUGAAAUGUAUGGAGCAAGCUAGUACUUCUAAGAAUUUGCUACUGAAAGACGAUGCAUAUGAAAACUGAAGUGGCUUUAGAAUACUAAGGUGGUAGCUCUACACAGUGUGAUUAUUAGUGUUCAAGGAGCCCGCCCUUCAUGUUCACAGUGACAUUAAACACACACACACACACCCCAUCACACACCACCCUCAUAUCCCACAUCCUGAAAAAUUAGACACACACACACAAACACGUCCCUCACACGCCACACCUCCGAACACAUACAUACACAUGCAUACACAGACACACCACACCCUCACACACUCCAAACACAAACCCUUGACUCUUGCACCAGUGACGAGAGGAGCAGAUUGAAGAGCAAGAGCCAGUGGACCUGAAAGGCUAUGGAUGACAUUUGCUGAAAACUGAAAUUCUUCUGUAGGGAUUUCAGUACAAACUUGAUGUUUUUGACUUCGGUGCAUUGAAAUUCAGAGAGACUUGAAAUAUCUUCCAUUUGAAACUGCUGUUUGUCAAAUAUACUUUAGUGUGAACGCACUUCUGAUCAUUUCUUGAGAGCAGGUUUUGACAGACAAACUGCACCUACGGAGGGCCUACGGCUACAGGGGUAAUGAGAGGAGGGCAGAGAGAGGAUGCUGUGGUGGCCGAAACAAACUCAGCUAACACAGUGAUUUGUCCUGGGGUCGGUGCUGACUGAAAACCUGUAGACACCACUGAGAGCUGCCCACAGGAAUAAACGAAAUGUUACACAGAGAAUACUGCGGCUAAAGAGUAUAUUUUUCUACUUACAUCAAUGUGAUGCUUGAAAGGUCUCUUUGGUCUAUAUAAAACUAGCACUUAUUGGCUACUAUUAAAUUAAAUGAGACAUUGCAGACCCCAAAACUAGGCAAUCAUAAAUCGCCAAUCCUAAAUUCUUC
This is a long non-coding RNA of Equus caballus (horse), 1383 nucleotides long. The record is from Ensembl. NCBI's taxonomy places the organism in Eukaryota, Metazoa, Chordata, Mammalia, Perissodactyla, Equidae.